GCUUCCUUGGCUCAGUUGGUUAGAGCGCCAGUCUCAUAAUUGUGUGAGUAACUAUGUAGUUACGCAAUCUGGAGGUCGAGAGUUCGACCCUCUCAGGGAGCA
Molecule: non-coding RNA, 102 nt
Organism: Mycena galericulata
Lineage: Eukaryota; Fungi; Basidiomycota; Agaricomycetes; Agaricales; Mycenaceae
Source: the annotation of a GenBank genome assembly